AACGAACGCUGGCGGCAUGCCUAACACAUGCAAGUCGAACGAGACCUUCGGGUCUAGUUGCGCACGGGUGCGUAACGCGUGGUAACCUGCCCUUAGGUUCGGAAUAACUCCCCGAAAGGGGUGCUAAUACCGGAUAAUGUCUUCGGACCAAAGAUUUAUCGCCUUUGGAUGGGCCCGUGUUGGAUUAGCUAGUUGGUAGUGUAAAAGCCUACCAAGGCGACGAUGCAUAGCUGGUCUGAGAGGAUGACCAGUCACAAUGGGAAUGAGACACGGCCCAGACUGCUAGGGGAGGCAGCAGUGGGGAGUAUUGGACAAUGGGCGAAAGCCUGAUCCAGCCAUGCCGCGUGAGUGAUGAAGGGCUUAGGGUUGUAAAGCUCUUUUACCCGAGAUGAUAAUGACAGUACCGGGAGAAUAAGCACCGGCUAACUACGUG
Molecule: ribosomal RNA, 433 nt
Filed under: uncultured bacterium
Lineage: Bacteria
Description: partial 16S ribosomal RNA
Rfam family: Bacterial small subunit ribosomal RNA
Source: RNAcentral